RNAcentral lists this unclassified non-coding RNA (311 nucleotides) under Hevea brasiliensis (rubber tree). The record is from RNAcentral. Lineage: Eukaryota; Viridiplantae; Streptophyta; Magnoliopsida; Malpighiales; Euphorbiaceae.
AAGAAGGUGUUUUUUUUUUUUUUUCCCUGAGAAUUUGUGAGAAGCGCGGUUGAUGUUAAGGAUUUUCUUUAAUUUUUUCUCAGUAUUUAUGGCGGUGGUUGUAAUGUUCAGGAGAGCUCCAGAGUUGGCACGUCAACUUGACUUAAAGGGCAGCGUUGCCACCGCCAUACAAUUCAUCUUUUUUUUUUUAAUUGGUUUUACAAAUCAUUAUUAUUUAGUUUAUUUUUCUGGUUCUGAGUUGUUGAACCUGGCGCUAACUGUGCAUCAUUUCUGCCUUAAUUUUGCCCUGUUCGUAGGUGAAAAGGACAAAU